GGGCCUUUAGCUCAGUUGGCCAGAGCACCUGACUCUUAAUCAGGGAGUCCUGGGUUCGAAUCCCAGAAGGCCCACCA
Molecule: transfer RNA, 77 nt
Filed under: Bacillota bacterium
Lineage: Bacteria; Bacillati; Bacillota
Also listed under: 1 other name
Description: Firmicutes bacterium (anaerobic digester metagenome) tRNA-Lys
Rfam family: tRNA
About the family: Transfer RNA (tRNA) molecules are approximately 80 nucleotides in length. Their secondary structure includes four short double-helical elements and three loops (D, anti-codon, and T loops).
Source: RNAcentral